CUGAAGCUGAUCUGCCACCUCACCUGUGUGCAAGGAGCAGGUGAGCGUGGCCAAUCAGGUGGCGGCUCUGUGGUGAAAUGCAGACAAACCUGUCAGGCAGAGAGAGAGAGAGCGAGCGAGCCCCAUAGAGUCAGAGUGGGAACUCCCUCUGUGCGAGGGAGAGGAGAGGAAGGAGGACACCACACUCAGACAUCCAGUGGGUCCCACACGCUGGUCAGAGCACGCCGUGACAUCAGAGUGACAUCAUGAGCUCCCCCACUGAGCAUACAGACGGGCAGGGUGAGGACAGGUCCUGAGCCUCAUCGCCGAUCUCUUCCUUGCUGAUGACUUCACUGAUUAGUCUGCAGUUUCUGAUUGGCUCCUGGUCGGGUCCUGAUCGGGUUCUGGUCCUCGGACAGGAAGCUGACGCCUUUUCCUGGAUCUGAGCUCAGAGUCAAAGACCAGAGGAGGCCUCUGAUCCUCCCGAGUCCCUG
This is a long non-coding RNA of Astatotilapia calliptera (eastern happy), 473 nucleotides long. NCBI's taxonomy places the organism in Eukaryota, Metazoa, Chordata, Actinopteri, Cichliformes, Cichlidae. The record is from Ensembl.